RNAcentral lists this ribosomal RNA (409 nucleotides) under bacterium. RNAcentral describes it as "partial 16S ribosomal RNA". It matches the Rfam family "Bacterial small subunit ribosomal RNA", at positions 355 to 776 of the family's 1533-position model. The record is from RNAcentral.
UGGGGAAUAUUGCACAAUGGGCGAAAGCCUGAUGCAGCGACGCCGCGUGAGGGAUGACGGCCUUCGGGUUGUAAACCUCUUUCAGCAGGGACGAAGCGCAAGUGACGGUACCUGCAGAAGAAGCACCGGCUAACUACGUGCCAGCAGCCGCGGUAAUACGUAGGGUGCAAGCGUUGUCCGGAAUUACUGGGCGUAAAGAGUUCGUAGGCGGUUUGUCGCGUCGUUUGUGAAAACCAGCAGCUCAACUGCUGGCUUGCAGGCGAUACGGGCAGACUAGAGUACUGCAGGGGAGACUGGAAUUCCUGGUGUAGCGGAGAAAUGCGCAGAUAUCAGGAGGAACACCGGUGGCGAAGGCGGGUCUCUGGGCAGUAACUGACGCUGAGGAACGAAAGCGUGGGUAGCGAACAGG